Molecule: ribosomal RNA, 465 nt
Filed under: Vreelandella stevensii
Lineage: Bacteria; Pseudomonadati; Pseudomonadota; Gammaproteobacteria; Oceanospirillales; Halomonadaceae
Description: partial 16S ribosomal RNA
Rfam family: Bacterial small subunit ribosomal RNA
Source: RNAcentral
CCUACGGGGUGCUGCAGUGGGGAAUAUUGGACAAUGGGCGAAAGCCUGAUCCAGCCAUGCCGCGUGUGUGAAGAAGGCCUUCGGGUUGUAAAGCACUUUCAGUGGGGUAGAAAGCCUUGGGGCUAAUACCCUCGAGGAAGGACAUCACCCACAGAAGAAGCACCGGCUAACUCCGUGCCAGCAGCCGCGGUAAUACGGAGGGUGCGAGCGUUAAUCGGAAUUACUGGGCGUAAAGCGCGCGUAGGCGGUCUGAUAAGCCGGUUGUGAAAGCCCCGGGCUCAACCUGGGAACGGCAUCCGGAACUGUCAGGCUAGAGUGCAGGAGAGGAAGGUAGAAUUCCCGGUGUAGCGGUGAAAUGCGUAGAGAUCGGGAGGAAUACCAGUGGCGAAGGCGGCCUUCUGGACUGACACUGACGCUGAGGUGCGAAAGCGUGGGUAGCAAACAGGAUUAGAUACCCGGGUAGUC